AAAGGACCGAAAAAGCAUGGCCAAUAUUUUAUACACGCCRUAAUUAAUAAUUUAUGAUUUAACUCAAUAAAUAAUUGUUCUAAUAUUAAGCCCAAUUUAAGAGCA
This 105-nucleotide ribosomal RNA is filed under the name Sphaenorhynchus carneus. Its description in RNAcentral is "partial 16S ribosomal RNA". Lineage: Eukaryota; Metazoa; Chordata; Amphibia; Anura; Hylidae. The record is from RNAcentral.